CCGAUCUUAGCUCAGUUGGAAGAGCGUGGGACUGUAAUCGGAUAAAACGGAUCAUGAUGUCAUUGUGUCAUUUAUCAUCCCGAGGCCGUGCGUUCGAUCCGCACAGAUCGGA
Armillaria nabsnona is the source of this 112-nucleotide non-coding RNA. NCBI's taxonomy places the organism in Eukaryota, Fungi, Basidiomycota, Agaricomycetes, Agaricales, Physalacriaceae. The record is from the annotation of a GenBank genome assembly.